AGGACACGACGAUCCCUUAUCAGCCUGUAGGCGACCCGAGAGGACAAGCCGGGGGCAGAACAGCGGAAGACCACCCUGGUGUUGAGAGGAGAAUAAACUGGGAGCCUCAGGGAGCGCCAUGGAGGAGCUUUUUCUGUUCCACAGCAGCAGGACGGGCUCUGCUUGAGUUCUUAGGACCUCUCAGUGGAAGUCAAUUAUCGGUGCGGCUGCAGCCAUGAGGAGACCCAGCAACAGCAUGAAGUGGAAUAAAACCGAAGAGCUGGAGGCUCGAA
Molecule: long non-coding RNA, 272 nt
Organism: Xiphophorus maculatus (southern platyfish)
Lineage: Eukaryota; Metazoa; Chordata; Actinopteri; Cyprinodontiformes; Poeciliidae
Exons: 3
Source: RefSeq, a predicted model, not a curated record